RNAcentral lists this ribosomal RNA (191 nucleotides) under uncultured bacterium. RNAcentral describes it as "partial 16S ribosomal RNA". It matches the Rfam family "Bacterial small subunit ribosomal RNA", at positions 337 to 525 of the family's 1533-position model. The record is from RNAcentral. RNAcentral also lists the same sequence under 1 other name.
UCCUACGGGAGGCAGCAGUGAGGAAUAUUGGUCAAUGGAGGCAACUCUGAACCAGCCAAGUCGCGUGAAGGAAGACUGCCCUAAGGGUUGUAAACUUCUUUUGUAAGGGAAUAAAGUGUAGUACGUGUACUAUUUUGCAUGUACCUUACGAAUAAGGAUCGGCUAACUCCGUGCCAGCAGCCGCGGUAAUA